ACAAUGUUAGAAAGGAUCCCCCACUGUGUUGUACUGAUCUACUCUAGUGAUCUACAAGACUGCUAUAGCAGCUCUCUACAUAUACUAAUCUCUGACCUACCUACCUAUACUUCUUCAUCAAUCAUCAUGCGUCUGCUAUUCCCUUUAUAGCUUUCUUAGCUGUUUUCUUUGCAUGUUUCUUUUUUCAAUUUUUCAUUCCUUCUUUAUUAUAGUAUCUACCUCUUUUUUAUUUACAUCUGUCCCCAUUCUUUUCUUCUAUAUAUUCCCUUCCUUCCACUUCUUUCUAGUAUACUAUUAUCUACCUUCUUUCUUUCUUCUUCUUCUUCUAGGUCAAUAUUCCCCUUACUCUCAACAUAUUUUGUUCACAAAGGAAUAAGUGAAGCUGCCAGCAUGAUCUAAACUUAGGUUAGAGAGGUUUUCUUUUCUUUUCUUUAAAAGAAGAACAAGAUGAAGAUGAAAGACUAACCCUAACUUGGAUUAGGUCAUGCUGUGACAGCCUCACUCAUUCCUAUUUUGUGGACCCAAUUCAUUCCUAACGAUUUUUAUCUCUUCAACUGAAAGACACAACAAACAAACUUUAAUGAAAAAGGGUGACUCAUAAUUAUUUGAUAUCAAUGAAAUUACUGUUACAAGUAUCUUUGUUAUUCCUUUUUCCGAGUUUCUGUUCUGGCAGGCGUGCGAUUUAUUACUAACUUUUCACCUUUUUUUUGUUUCACUCUCUCUCCUUUUUCUUUCUCUCUUGUUAUUUCAUGCCAACCUGUUUUCACUGUUUCUUGUUGACUAUGCUCAAUACUAUCCCUGUAUCGUUCUUCUCUCUUUUUAUCUUGUUAUAAGCUUCUUUAUGUUAUUUUAGGUUUUCAGAUACUCAGGUUCAUUGUAUAAAUGCUUGUUUUGUUUAUCUUUAUCAUGUUUUUAAUUCUGCAUUUGUGCAUUUUAAUAUAUUUGUUUUUCAUUUUUCAGGUGCAAGUGUCAUCAUUUAUCCGCAUAUUAAUUAAUAUAAAAGCUCAUCUAGGAAAGGAAGGAGCUGUACUAUCUUAAUCAGCGUAAUUUAUAAGCACAAACUCACACAUUUUUAUGUAUAUUUUUACAUAUUUUUAAUUUGUUAUAUUAUAUUCAUGAUAUUUUUGCCUCAUCUUAGUUUUUGACGGUUGGUUGCAGUGUAUAAAAAGCAGGUUAUAGGUUAUAGUUGAUAUUAAAUGUUAGAAUUUGUAUUGUAAAAUUUGUAUAGCAGGUUAUAAGUUAUAGUUGAUAUCAAGUGUUAUUUUAACAAUUAUCAUCUCACUGUAGAACAAAUUUUUUGGAAUAAAAAGAAUGGUUAGUUUGAGUUUUAGUCUUGUGUUUUCAUUUUUAGAUUUUUCUAUUAUUGUAUAAGAUUUAUGAG
Molecule: long non-coding RNA, 1381 nt
Filed under: Cicer arietinum (chickpea)
Lineage: Eukaryota; Viridiplantae; Streptophyta; Magnoliopsida; Fabales; Fabaceae
Description: long non-coding RNA (CARI_LNC000817)
Rfam family: MIR167 microRNA precursor family (bases 365-513)
Source: RNAcentral